GAUGAACGCUGGCGGCGUGCCUAAUACAUGCAAGUCGAGCGAACAGAUGAGGAGCUUGCUCCUCUGACGUUAGCGGCGGACGGGUGAGUAACACGUGGAUAACCUACCUAUAAGACUGGGAUAACUUCGGGAAACCGGAGCUAAUACCGGAUAAUAUAUUGAACCGCAUGGUUCAAUAGUGAAAGACGGUUUUGCUGUCACUUAUAGAUGGAUCCGCGCCGCAUUAGCUAGUUGGUAAGGUAACGGCUUACCAAGGCAACGAUGCGUAGCCGACCUGAGAGGGUGAUCGGCCACACUGGAACUGAGACACGGUCCAGACUCCUACGAGAGGCAGCAGUAGGGAAUCUUCCGCAAUGGGCGAAAGCCUGACGGAGCAACGCCGCGUGUGUGAUGAAGGUCUUCGGAUCGUAAAACUCUGUUAUUAGGGAAGAACAAAUGUGUAAGUAACUAUGCACGUCUUGACGGUACCUAAUCAGAAAGCCACGGCUAACUACGUG
RNAcentral lists this ribosomal RNA (497 nucleotides) under uncultured bacterium. RNAcentral's name for it is "partial 16S ribosomal RNA". It matches the Rfam family "Bacterial small subunit ribosomal RNA", at positions 28 to 507 of the family's 1533-position model. The record is from RNAcentral.